GGUUGUUUGAACCGCAUGGUUCAGACAUAAAAGGUGGCUUCGGCUACCACUUACAGAUGGACCCGCGGCGCAUUAGCUAGUUGGUGAGGUAACGGCUCACCAAGGCGACGAUGCGUAGCCGACCUGAGAGGGUGAUCGGCCACACUGGGACUGAGACACGGCCCAGACUCCUACGGGAGGCAGCAGUAGGGAAUCUUCCGCAAUGGACGAAAGUCUGACGGAGCAACGCCGCGUGAGUGAUGAAGGUUUUCGGAUCGUAAAGCUCUGUUGUUAGGGAAGAACAAGUGCCGUUCAAAUAGGGCGGCACCUUGACGGUACCUAACCAGAAAGCCACGGCUAACUACGUGCCAGCAGCCGCGGUAAUACGUAGGUGGCAAGCGUUGUCCGGAAUUAUUGGGCGUAAAGGGCUCGCAGGCGGUUUCUUAAGUCUGAUGUGAAAGCCCCCGGCUCAACCGGGGAGGGUCAUUGGAAACUGGGGAACUUGAGUGCAGAAGAGGAGAGUGGAAUUCCACGUGUAGCGGUGAAAUGCGUAGAGAUGUGGAGGAACACCAGUGGCGAAGGCGACUCUCU
This 570-nucleotide ribosomal RNA is filed under the name Bacillus siamensis. RNAcentral describes it as "bacterial SSU rRNA". It matches the Rfam family "Bacterial small subunit ribosomal RNA", at positions 173 to 730 of the family's 1533-position model. The record is from RNAcentral. Lineage: Bacteria; Bacillati; Bacillota; Bacilli; Caryophanales; Bacillaceae.